UCACAGUAUUCCUGUGCUAUAAAUAAGACAUUUGCUUCUUUGUAGUUAAAGACUUAGAGAUGCAAGAAGUUGCCGACUCAGAAGUAAGCAGGGGCUGAGUUGAGAUAUAAGACAGUUCUGUGUGUUUCUUUUCAUAGUGUGAUCGAUGUGCCGGUGUCUUACAUGUUGCUUCUUCCUGCACUCUAGGCCUCUCCUCUUCACCCCCUCGUGGACCACCAUUGCCAGCUAAACAAAGGCGGUGAAUCUUCGUCCUGAUCCAUUGUCCUUCUGAGACCCAUAAUGAGCUCACCAGUACAGCCCGGAUUUCUUUAUUUCAGCAGAACUUUGCUGCACUGAUUGUUGAUACUCCCCCUCCUCUUCAGAAAACUCCUCAGCUGCCAUUCUCUGAUGCUCAGCCAGAAGUUGCUGAAGUUCCUCUGGAGACAAUUCCUUGACUAUUCCUCCACCAGUUCCUCAACAUCAUCACUGUCUACCUGUCUGUGAAUUCUGCUAUAGUGACGGUGUCAUCAACCUCAGGGCCAGUUGAAGGCUCAGGCUCCCCU
This 542-nucleotide long non-coding RNA is filed under the name Fukomys damarensis (Damara mole-rat). RNAcentral's name for it is "lncRNA (ENSFDAG00000026235.1)". Lineage: Eukaryota; Metazoa; Chordata; Mammalia; Rodentia; Bathyergidae. The record is from RNAcentral.